This 438-nucleotide ribosomal RNA is filed under the name uncultured bacterium. Its description in RNAcentral is "partial 16S ribosomal RNA". It matches the Rfam family "Bacterial small subunit ribosomal RNA", at positions 339 to 795 of the family's 1533-position model. The record is from RNAcentral.
CUACGGGGUGCAGCAGUGGGGAAUAUUGCACAAUGGGGGAAACCCUGAUGCAGCAACGCCGCGUGGAGGAUGACACAUUUCGGUGCGUAAACUCCUUUUAUAUAAGAAGAUAAUGACGGUAUUAUAUGAAUAAGCACCGGCUAACUCCGUGCCAGCAGCCGCGGUAAUACGGGGGGUGCAAGCGUUACUCGGAAUCACUGGGCGUAAAGAGCAUGUAGGCUGGUUUGUAAGUUGGAAGUGAAAUCCUAUGGCUUAACCAUAGAACUGCUUCCAAAACUACCUACCUAGAAUAUGGGAGAGGUAGAUGGAAUUUCUGGGGUAGGGGUAAAAUCCGUAGAGAUCAGAAGGAAUACCGAUUGCGAAGGCGAUCUACUGGAACAUUAUUGACGCUCAGAUGCGAAAGCGUGGGGAGCAAACAGGAUUAGAUACCCUGUAGUC